GAAUUUUAAAACUUUGACCAGAAUCCUCAUUAAAGGGGACCUUUUCUUUUGUACACUUUCUAGAAAACCAGUGAGUAAGAGAGUGAGCUCCUGCACCCAAGCCUGAAUUCCAGGGGGCGUCCUGGUGCACACCCAGCAGUUCUCCCUGCAGUGCUAAAGAGACCCCUUACUUCUGACAUGCCGGGCACAGGCUGGACGUUACUCAGUGCCUCACUGCGUUUCCCCCGCCCGCUCAGGUGGCUGCCGUUACUGUUCUCUGCACCUUGCAGGUUCCCAGAGGAGGGAUAAGGAGCCAGGUAUCCUCCAGGAGCAGACAUUGUCUCUUGGCCUCCUUCCUGGUACCCACUUAUGCCUCAGCCACAUAAACAGAGGAGCAGGUCUGCGCUUCCACCCAGGGUGGCUGAGGACUCUCCAGGAAAAAACCACUUAUAACAGUUGUCUCAUAAAAAAGAAAAAAA
RNAcentral lists this long non-coding RNA (458 nucleotides) under Chinchilla lanigera (long-tailed chinchilla). Its description in RNAcentral is "lncRNA (ENSCLAG00000023215.1)". The record is from RNAcentral. Lineage: Eukaryota; Metazoa; Chordata; Mammalia; Rodentia; Chinchillidae.